AUCGGCAUUAAACUACGUGCGCUCAUUUGGCGUCAAAACCCAUGAAAUGGAACAAUCAUAUUGUAUAAUCUAAUCUAUAUAAUCCUUGCCUCUUAAUUUUGUCCUUGCUCUGUCGUGAUUUCCACAUUGGUCAUCUGAGAACACAUUCUUCUUAUACUUCUGGCUUUUUGAUUUUGACUUGCCUCUGCUACUCUGUUUUUUGCAUCCUUAACUUUAGCUAGUUUACUGAUGUUGGG
This is a non-coding RNA of Pelobates cultripes (western spadefoot toad), 236 nucleotides long. The record is from the annotation of a GenBank genome assembly. NCBI's taxonomy places the organism in Eukaryota, Metazoa, Chordata, Amphibia, Anura, Pelobatidae.